RNA transcript from Oncorhynchus masou masou (cherry salmon), 1980 nucleotides. It is a transcript of the gene named beta-hexosaminidase subunit beta-like, with no coding region annotated. The record is from RefSeq and is a predicted model, not a curated record. NCBI's taxonomy places the organism in Eukaryota, Metazoa, Chordata, Actinopteri, Salmoniformes, Salmonidae. The transcript has 14 exons.
ACUGUCUCGCCAGUUGUCAGCUGACUGGUAGUUGGCAAUACAGUAGUUGUACAUCAUGAUCGCGACGCUGAAGUUUACAACAUUAUUACUUGCGGUUGUUGUCUGCCGGGCAACGCAAGAUUAUGGUUAUAAAGAUGUCGAGGAGCCUACCCUGGGCGAUUCUCAGUAUGGAUCUCUCUGGCCGUUGCCUCAGAAAGUCCAAAUGUCAACGGUAGCAUUCAAACUCAGCAGUGUUAGUUUCCAGAUAGUUGACGCGAAAGAAUCGUCUUCCGGUGCGAGCUGCAGCCUUCUUCAAAAUGCAUAUCGAAGGUAUGACGAAUACAUAUUCCCCAUUUCCAGAAUGCAAGGGCAAAACAAAAAGAAGGCAUUUGCCUCUGUGUCUGAGUUACAGGUGUGGAUCACAUCAGCUGACUCUGAGUGUGACAGCUACCCAAGUGUGACAUCUGAUGAGUCAUACGAACUCUCGGUGGACUCUCCUGUUGCUGUGCUGAAAGCACCUAAGGUGUGGGGCGCCCUGAGAGGUCUGGAGACUUUUAGCCAGUUGGUGUAUGAGGAUGAAUAUGGAGCAAAAAGCAUCAAUAGGACAGAGAUCCAGGACUUUCCACGGUUUACACAUCGAGGCCUCUUAUUGGACAGCUCUCGUCACUUCCUGCCCAUCAAAGUCAUCUUAGCCAAUCUGGAAGCAAUGUCGUGGAACAAAUUCAAUGUGUUCCACUGGCAUAUAGUAGAUGACCCCUCCUUCCCCUACAUGAGCCGUACCUUCCCACAGCUGAGCCAGCAGGGAGCAUACCACCCGUACACGCACGUGUACACGCCCUCUGACGUGAAGAUGAUCAUUGAGUUUGCUCGCCUCAGGGGCAUUCGUGUCGUCUCUGAGUUUGACACCCCUGGACACACUCAGUCAUGGGGCAAAGGCCAGAAGGACCUACUGACACCCUGUUACUCUGGAGCCAGCCCCUCUGGCUCGUUUGGACCGGUCAACCCUAUCCUCAACACCACCUAUGACUUCAUGGCGAUGUUCUUCAAGGAGGUCAGCACAGUGUUCCCCGAUGCCUACAUCCAUCUAGGAGGAGACGAGGUUGACUUCAGCUGCUGGAAGUCCAACCCAGACAUCCAGAAGUUCAUGGCGCAGCAAGGCUUUGGGACGGACUACAGCAAGCUGGAGUCUUUCUACAUUCAGAGGCUCUUGGAUAUUGUCACCACUACCAACAAGGGCUACAUGAUCUGGCAGGAGGUGAUUGACAAUGGAGUUAAGCUGAAGGCAGACACGCUAAUCCACGUGUGGAAAGGCAACCAGCAGCAGUACCAGGCUGAGAUGGCAAGGGUCACAGCGUCAGGCUACCAGGCCCUGCUCUCCACACCCUGGUACCUGAACCGCAUCUCCUACGGCCAAGACUGGCAGGCCGCUUACAGGGCAGACCCACAGGACUUUAAUGGCACAGAUGCUCAGAAGAAGCUGGUAGUCGGCGGAGAGGCCUGUCUGUGGGGGGAAUACGUGGACGCUACCAACCUGACCCCCAGACUUUGGUACGCUGCAGACAAACCCAAAUAUGUUUCUCUCCUAUCCCCAGGCCCCGUGCCAGUGCUGUGGGGGAGCGGUUGUGGAGUGACAAGGAUGUGAAAGACACAAACGAUGCUUAUAGUCGUCUGAUCCAGCACCGCUGUCGCAUGGUCCAGCGUGGUAUACCAGCUGAGCCUUUGUUUACAGGUUACUGUGCACAUGAGUACAAAGGGGUAUGAGCUGACAGCCACUGUGGGGCGACAACCUGAGAAGCAGCGUUAACCGCAAUGAGAGAGAAAUAAUCUCACAAAUCAAACUUGAUUGUCUUCAAGACUUUAUUGAUGCACUGAUAUGAGCCAAAUUCUGCCUUUUUAAUUUUUUUCAGAACAAUCCUCAUUCCAUGCAAUGUCACAAAUUGAUUGUGUAGGAACACCUUUUUAUAUUAAUGUUUAUGAAUUAAAAGAAACUUUUGCAAAGUU